RNAcentral lists this transfer RNA (65 nucleotides) under Nectoporus sanmarkii. Its description in RNAcentral is "tRNA-Leu". The record is from RNAcentral. Lineage: Eukaryota; Metazoa; Arthropoda; Insecta; Coleoptera; Dytiscidae.
UCUAAUGUGGCAGAAUAGUGCAAUGAAUUUAAGCUUCAUAUAUAAAGACCCAUCUUUCAUUAGAA